Molecule: ribosomal RNA, 411 nt
Filed under: uncultured bacterium
Lineage: Bacteria
Description: bacterial SSU rRNA
Rfam family: Bacterial small subunit ribosomal RNA
Source: RNAcentral
AGAGUUUGAUCCUGGCUCAGAUUGAACGCUGGCGGCAUGCCUUACACAUGCAAGUCGAACGGCAGCGCGGGGCAACCUGGCGGCGAGUGGCGAACGGGUGAGUAAUAUAUCGGAACGUGCCCUGGAGUGGGGGAUAACGCAGCGAAAGUUGCGCUAAUACCGCAUACGAUCUAAGGAUGAAAGCAGGGGACCGCAAGGCCUUGUGCUCCUGGAGCGGCCGAUAUCUGAUUAGCUAGUUGGUGGGGUAAAGGCCUACCAAGGCAUCGAUCAGUAGCUGGUCUGAGAGGACGACCAGCCACACUGGAACUGAGACACGGUCCAGACUCCUACGGGAGGCAGCAGUGGGGAAUUUUGGACAAUGGGCGAAAGCCUGAUCCAGCAAUGCCGCGUGAGUGAAGAAGGCCUUCGGGU